AGUUUUUGAGGACUCAAGGGAAGGGCUUAAAUGUAAUCGUCUAUUUAAUUGAAGAGAAAGAGGAAAGUGGUGGACCCCCUCCUGAUUAUUGUUUGCUGGAGUAAAUAAUUUAAUUAAAAAUAAGGGUAAAUCAAAAGGCAAUUGGAAAGUUGAAAAAAGAAAGAAAGAAAGAAAGAAAAAAAAAAAAAGGGUGGCGAGAGGAGAGAGAAAACGAAGGGUUUGAAUUCAAACAGGAUCACGAAAACAAAAGGCGAAAAUUGCGAAGUUAAAGUUGGCGAUUGGAUGCUUGCAAAUUGAAGAUUGCGAUUUGAGUCCUCCGGUGAUUUCGAACAGCGUUCUCACUUUUCUUCCCCCAACAAAAGUGAUGAGUCGAUUUGUGAAUGGAAUUGAGAUAAAGGAGCUUUUUAUUAUUAUGAUUUUAAAAUUCAGGUUUGUAUGAAUAAUGGAGCUUUGUAUUAUUUGGAUGAAUUUUUACUGAUUGAGUUUUAUGUGUUGUGUGAGUGAUGUUAAACGGAAUUAAUCCUGUGAAAGAUUAAGUUUACGGUGUUAUAUGUGGUAGUGUUUGUAAUUAGUUGGUUUUUGAAAGUAAAUUACAAAUGAAUUGCUGACGGAAAAGUAUGUUAUUAUAUACUGUUUAUACUUAGAUGGGGUAUGUUUGUAUUUUAAGAUUAGGUAAUCUUUGGUUUAAUUAAUUUUGAUUUGAGCUCACACUUUGUUUGAGAUAGAAGUUUAACAUUGAAGUUUUGUUUGGCAAGUAUGGGAAUCAAUUAUACGGAUUUACUAACUGGAAAGACAUUGUAAUUGAAUUUAGACCCUUUUUUGGUGUUAUAGUAGUUAUUGUUAUUGUAUUUAGUCAUUUCCCCAAGCUAUUGAAGUGUUAUAUUCAUUAUUUUGAAAUGUUAUGAGUUGGUUUUUAGUAUGACAUGAAAGUUUUUAUUUAUAUAUUGCUUAAAGUGAGAUGAUCUAGUUUUGUAUAAUUGAAUUGUCAAUUAAAUAGAGAGGGUGUGAAAAAAAUGGGGUUGCUUGAAUUAAUAUUUGAGUAGUAGGUAUGAUGUUUUCUGUUAAUGAAACUUAAGCUUUAGUUUGAAUGAACUAUUGAGAUUGAAUUGGCAUUGUUGUUGAUUAGUUUUUUUGGGAUUGACAUUGUUUAAUAAAUAUUGAUAUUAGGUCACACUUUAAUUUGUUUGAGAUAAAAGUUUAACAUUGAUGUUUUGUUUGUCAAGUGUGGUAUUUGUAUGAAUCAAUUAUAUGGCUUUGAUGACUGGAUUGGUAUUGCAAUUUUAUUAUUUGUUUUUUGUUUUUUGUGAAUUGUCUUUGUUUUGUUGUCGUCCUAAACAUCUAAAUGGCUUGUGUGCGUGUGUGUCAAACAACCUUAGCCAUAGUGUUUACGAAGGACGACUCUUCUAUAGGCUAAGAAGUAGUAUGAGGUGAGUAACUGUAUUAAAUUUAAUUUUGGUUUUCCUUUUUUUUCCCCUUAAGUUGUUGGUGUUUGGGGGUUAAAUUGGUUUGGUUUGUGUAUCUCAAGGCCACUGUUAGUCAGAUCAUGAGGGAUUAUCCAGCUGGUUACAGCAAGGACAACCCUUACUAAAGGAAGCAGAAGGAAGCAGUUAUUGAGCACCCUGAGCUGGAUCCCAGGCAAGAUAUGGAAUUUGAUUAUGAGUAACUGAGGUCUGAGAAUGAGGAUGAUUUUUCUCAAGAUGAAGAUUAUGUUAAAGAACCAGAUCAGGGAAGUGAAUUCGAAGAUCAGUCAUAUGAAGAGGAGGAAAAUGUAGUGGUUCGGCGAAGAAUGAAGCAGCCCCAAGGAAAAAUCUGGGUAUGUUGAAGAAAGCAAAGGGGCCAUGUCAUGCGCCCAGUGAGUAGAAGAAAAGUUGCUGCAAAUAGGAAGGCUCCGCCAUCGCCGCCGUCGCGACCGAAGAGUAGGAAGAGAGCCGAUGUUGAAGAGCAAAAGAUGGUAAUCGAGGUUGAGGAACCCGUUUUUCUGUCAGAAGGUGAAGCAGAAGAACCUUGUUGUUGUAACGUAACAAACAUACUAAUCUGGGAAGUGAGGCAUCCCUGGGUUCCACAGGACAGUGUUAAGCCAUAUGAAAUUUCUAUUGCUAAUGAGGUGUUGAGGCGUAUGACUCCCGAAUGGUUUAAGGAGAAGCUCACCCCAUGGCUGCAUCGGCUGGAGCAAUUGUAUAGCUCCGGGUAUAGGGUUGUUAUUCAAGAUCCUAUAGAGAAGAAACUCGCUAAAUCGGUGUUGUUGUCUUCUUUGGGAAGGAUUCUGGUGGCAAACAAAAUAACGUAGAUAAGGCGAGUUCUCUUGACGAAAGACUUGGAAAACUUGAUGAUAAGAUAGUUAUGGGUGAUAAGCAAAUAAGUGUUAGAGAUUUAAUUCAAAAUGUUACCUCUUAGGUCGAAGAUGAUGUAAUGAAAAUGGAGAAGCCCAUGUUUGUGCAGUUGGUGCUGGUGUUGCAGGGGUGAGAUAGUCUCAGCAGACCAGUGCUGCAGCCCAUGUUAUUCCUUUUGCGAAGCAUAAUAAUGAGCGCACCGAGAGCCCUGAAAAUCAGGCUGAGAAGUAGGCACACUCUGAGGCUGCUAGUUAGGUGGCUGCUGCUGAGGGUAACUUUGAGGCUACUGGUGAGGCACACAUGGUAAGAGUCGAAGUGCCACAUGUAUAAGAACCGCAAAAUGACAUAUUUCAUGACUCGCAUGUCGACAUUAGUUUUACAAACUUGAACCAAGAAGUAGGUGAUGUUGAUUUCAGUGCGGUUUUUGGUGUCUUUUGUACGGGUGAUAAUGGUGGUUUAGAGGAUGACUUUAGUACUAGUAAUGGGGGUGGUGUCCAGGAUGAGGAUGUCCAAAAGAAUAGUGAAGGAGGUCAGAGUAAAAGGGAUCAUAGUGUUGGGAUACGACCCCGCAAAACUUCUGCCAAGGGAUUGCAAUAAGCGAAAAAGGGUCAAGUGCUUACCAAGGAGGAUAGGAGAAUCAUUACUUAUGUUCGUUCUUGGACUCCCAAAAUGAAUAGGGGUCCGACUUUGAAUAAAUGCGAAGGGCAGGAUGUUUAUAUGGAAUUUUGUAAUGUCAUUGUGUGUUGCCGGAAGCAUGUCGGGACGCAGUACGUCAAGACUGCUUCUAAGAUGUACACCUAGGAGUGGUCUGUGCAGUUCAAGGGAGGUAGUAAGAGGGUGAUGUUGAAUCCGUGGCAUUCCAUUUUGUUAAUGUCAACUUGAUUUUGUGAGGGGUUGUGACUUUAGUUCCUUUAUUGAUCUUAUCAGUGUUCUUUUGUGGGAUAUAUAUUUUGCAGAUAAGCUUACUAGAAUAGUCUCGAUCCCCCGAAGAAAUUGUUGUGAAAUAUUGGCAUCCUUUGCGUGAUGUCUCGUUAAGGAAUAUAGCUGUUAAGAGUUCUACUUGCUUUAGGGUGGUAAUAUUAUACUUUUGGUCACAUUUUCAUAUAAUUAAGAUCACAUUUUCAUUUCA
Molecule: RNA transcript, 3459 nt
Organism: Chenopodium quinoa (quinoa)
Lineage: Eukaryota; Viridiplantae; Streptophyta; Magnoliopsida; Caryophyllales; Amaranthaceae
Exons: 7
Source: RefSeq, a predicted model, not a curated record